UGUCUAGCUGCCUGUUCUUAGGCGUACGUCUCAUCCCAUGCAACAGCAAAAAGUAUAACAAACACUUCUUUAACGCUGGUGGUGGUUACCUUGUUGCAGCCAAAUGGUGAAAGGUGUGACAAAGACAGAUUGCACCGUUGUAUGCUGAAUGCGAUUGCAGUGUAAUCCAGAAGUUGCUGUGCUGUUGUAGCUGAGCUGUUCCAUCUGGGUUCCUGACUUCAAAAAUUUUGU
This is a long non-coding RNA of Daphnia pulex (common water flea), 231 nucleotides long. RefSeq lists it as uncharacterized. The transcript has 2 exons. NCBI's taxonomy places the organism in Eukaryota, Metazoa, Arthropoda, Branchiopoda, Diplostraca, Daphniidae. The record is from RefSeq and is a predicted model, not a curated record.